This 450-nucleotide ribosomal RNA is filed under the name uncultured bacterium. RNAcentral describes it as "partial 16S ribosomal RNA". It matches the Rfam family "Bacterial small subunit ribosomal RNA", at positions 338 to 795 of the family's 1533-position model. The record is from RNAcentral.
CCUACGGGGGGCAGCAGUCGAGAAUCUUUCACAAUGGGGGCAACCCUGAUGGAGCGACGCCGCGUGGAGGAUAAGGUCUUCGGAUUGUAAACUCCUGUCAUGCGAGAACAAGGUUGCAGGGCUAACACCUUUGCAAAUUGAUGGUACCGCAAGAGGAAGAGACGGCUAACUCUGUGCCAGCAGCCGCGGUAAUACAGAGGUGUAAAGACUGGUUGGGAAGGACUGGGAGGAGGGGGGGCGAGUCAGAUGUGAAAGCCCGGGGCUCAACCUCGGAAUUGCAUCCGAUACUGCCAUGCUGGAGUACUGAAGAGGUGACUAGAAUUCUAGGUGUAGCAGUGAAAUGCGUAGAUAUCUAGAGGAAUACCAACGGCGAAGGCAGGUCACUGGGCAGUUACUGACACUGAGGCACGAAGGCCAGGGGAGCAAACGGGAUUAGAUACCCCUGUAGUC